RNAcentral lists this ribosomal RNA (229 nucleotides) under uncultured bacterium. Its description in RNAcentral is "partial 16S ribosomal RNA". It matches the Rfam family "Bacterial small subunit ribosomal RNA", at positions 568 to 796 of the family's 1533-position model. The record is from RNAcentral.
UGCGCAGGCGGAAUGAUAAGUCAGUGGUGAAAUCCUACGGCUCAACCGUAGAACUGCCAUUGAUACUGUUGUUCUUGAGUACAGUUGUAGUGGGCGGAAUAUGUCAUGUAGCGGUGAAAUGCAUAGAUAUGACAUAGAACACCGAUCGCGAAGGCAGCUCACUAAGCUGAAACUGACGCUGAGGCACGAAAGCGUGGGGAGCAAACAGGAUUAGAUACCCUGGUAGUCC